GUGAGUCAUCGAAUCUUUGAACGCAUCUUGCGCUCCUUGGUAUUCCGAGGAGCAUGCCUGUUUGAGUGUCAUUAAUAUAUCAACCCUCUUUUGCUUUUUUUUGCAUGUCGAGUGUUGGAUGUGGGGGUUUUGCUGGACUCUCUCCUUGAGGUCAGCUCUCCUAAAAUACAUUAGCAAAACAAUUUGUUUACUGCUCAUUGGUGUGAUAAAUAUCUACGCUAUUGGCGGUAUAAAGCACAGUUUAGCUUCUAACAGUCCAUUGACUUGGACAAUCUUUUAUCAAUGUGACCUCAAAUCUGGUAGGAUUACCCGCUGAACUUAAGCAUAUCAAUAAAGG
This 337-nucleotide ribosomal RNA is filed under the name uncultured Cortinarius. Its description in RNAcentral is "eukaryotic LSU rRNA". The stretch from base 1 to 71 matches the Rfam family "5.8S ribosomal RNA", at positions 84 to 154 of the family's 154-position model. Lineage: Eukaryota; Fungi; Basidiomycota; Agaricomycetes; Agaricales; Cortinariaceae. The record is from RNAcentral.